CCUACGGGAGGCAGCAGUGGGGAAUAUUUCGCAAUGGGCGAAAGCCUGACGCAGCGACGCCGCGUGAGGGAUGAAGGUCUUCGGAUCGUAAACCUCUGUCAGCAGGGAAGAACGGUCACUGUGCUAAUCAGCAGUGAAUUGACGGUACCUGCAAAGGAAGCACCGGCUAACUCCGUGCCAGCAGCCGCGGUAAUACGGAGGGUGCGAGCGUUAAUCGGAAUUACUGGGCGUAAAGCGCUCGUAGGCGGUAUGUCAAGUCAAGGGUGAAAUCCCCGGGCUCAACGUGGGAACUGCCUUUGAAACUGGGAAACUGGAGUGUGUGAGAGGAUAGUGGAAUUCCAGGUGUAGGAGUGAAAUCCGGAGAUAUCUGGAGGAACAUCAGUGGCGAAGGCGACUAUCUGGAACAUAACUGACGCUGAGGAGCGAAAGCGUGGGUAGCAAACAGGAUUAGAUACCCCUGUAGUC
This 465-nucleotide ribosomal RNA is filed under the name uncultured bacterium. Its description in RNAcentral is "partial 16S ribosomal RNA". It matches the Rfam family "Bacterial small subunit ribosomal RNA", at positions 338 to 795 of the family's 1533-position model. The record is from RNAcentral.